Molecule: ribosomal RNA, 429 nt
Filed under: Gemmatimonadota bacterium
Lineage: Bacteria; Pseudomonadati; Gemmatimonadota
Description: Gemmatimonadetes bacterium partial 16S ribosomal RNA
Rfam family: Bacterial small subunit ribosomal RNA
Source: RNAcentral
UAGGGAAUCUUCGGCAAUGGACGAAAGUCUGACCGAGCAACGCCGCGUGAGUGAAGAAGGUUUUCGGAUCGUAAAACUCUGUUGUUAGAGAAGAACAAGGACGUUAGUAACUGAACGUCCCCUGACGGUAUCUAACCAGAAAGCCACGGCUAACUACGUGCCAGCAGCCGCGGUAAUACGUAGGUGGCAAGCGUUGUCCGGAUUUAUUGGGCGUAAAGCGAGCGCAGGCGGUUUCUUAAGUCUGAUGUGAAAGCCCCCGGCUCAACCGGGGAGGGUCAUUGGAAACUGGGAGACUGGAGUGCAGAAGAGGAGAGUGGAAUUCCAUGUGUAGCGGUGAAAUGCGUAGAUAUAUGGAGGAACACCAGUGGCGAAGGCGGCUCUCUGGUCUGUAACUGACGAUGAGGCUCGAAAGCGUGGGGAGCAAACAGG